AAGCACGCGCAGUUCAGUUCCCCUCCUGCCGUUACCAGGAUUGCAGUCGGUUCUAGAGCUGAAUCGGUUAUAACUGCUCCAGGCUCAUAGGUUUCUCAACCUCCGCCACCGGUUAUAGACAUUUCCUUUUAAUUCCCCUUCCAAGCAGGCUGAAGGCCUGAGAGAGGACUGUCCCACGACUUCUCCCGUCUGGUCCUGAAGUCUGUCUCCAGGAUGAAGAUUUUCAACUCGGACAGGAAAGGGCAGUCUACAUCGCGCUCCUUCGCUAUCUGGCGGAAUCACUUCGAAGCCCCAGAGUCCGACUCUAACGCUGGAUACCUGAUCCAGGAAAAGAACCUCUGGAAGCUCCACAAAGCUACCUCGAUCGGGGACAUGGCGAAAGUGCAGCAGCUGCUGCUGCGAGGAAAGCACAACGUGAAUGAUACUCUGGAUAAAGUGAAGAGGCCUGAGCUAACCCUCGGAAAAUGACAGCAAGUCCCGAAAGCCGGCGUCACCUCUCCCUCCUGCCUGUCCAUUUAUAAUGAAUGGGAAACUCUUUUCUACUUUUAGCCGGGGUCCAACUUUACCUAUACUUAAUCAGUGGCGACGUGGGAGCAAAUACUAUUCUCUUUUGCUGAAAUGUUGUCACGUCUAAAACGACUGCUUGAGGAGAAUUUAAUUGGCAAAGUUGCUGAACUGGUUUGUCAUUUCCUUCUUAAGUUCAUUUUGACAAAAGAGGAAACUGAGGCAAACCAGGUUACGUGAUCUGCCAGGGUCACAUAACUGUAAGUAUCUGUUUUUGUUUGUUUGUUUGUUUGCUUUUUUACAGGCAUUUGGAAUUAAGUGACUUGACUAGGGUCCCACAACAAGGAAGUGUUGUGUCUGAAGCCAAUCCUCCUAAAUUCCAGGGCAGGUGCUUUAUUGUCUUUGCCAUCUAGCUGCCCCUCAACUAACAAGGAUCUGACGUCAGAUUUGAACUCAAAAAGAUGGAUUUUCCUGACUCCAGGCCCAGAAAUUCUUAUUGUGCCAUGUAACUGCCCCAUAUAGUGAAAUAUGGAAAGGAUAUGUGAAGUGUAAUCCUGUCAAGGCAGAAAAUUGUUGCUUUUAUUAAUCCACUACUAUAUGUGUCAGCCACAAGUACAAAGAAAUGGGGGACUGGGAUUGUCACUGUAUUCUAGAUCAAUCAAAUAGGGGAAUUAAUUAGCAAGGGAAAUUGCAGAAAGUUAAAGAAUAUGAGAAUUGAGAAGAGAUCAUUGGAUUUGGCAAUUAAGAGAUCUUUGGAGAAUUUGGAAGAUGGACAUAGAGUAUUUUUAAAAAUUGAUAGGAAAGGAAGUGGACACACCAUUUGACAACAGUCCUCUCCUGGCAUUUAGCUACAAAAGACAGGAGAGAUGUGGGAUGAUAGUGGGGAUGGAUUGAACAAGUGAAAAGUUCUUUUA
Molecule: long non-coding RNA, 1418 nt
Filed under: Sarcophilus harrisii (Tasmanian devil)
Lineage: Eukaryota; Metazoa; Chordata; Mammalia; Dasyuromorphia; Dasyuridae
Description: lncRNA (ENSSHAG00000030154.1)
Source: RNAcentral